This is a long non-coding RNA of Syngnathus typhle (broad-nosed pipefish), 286 nucleotides long. RefSeq lists it as uncharacterized. Lineage: Eukaryota; Metazoa; Chordata; Actinopteri; Syngnathiformes; Syngnathidae. The transcript has 3 exons. The record is from RefSeq and is a predicted model, not a curated record.
UUCUCAUUUGCGCUCCCUUGCAGCCAAGUCCACCAGUCCUCCUCCGCCGCUCCCAGCCUGGAGCGACAAAUGCGGCUGGGAGUGGCUGGACAACCCCGCCAACGACUUCUGCUACCUGAUGAGAGGGAACCAGCUCAAAAGCUGGAAGGAGGCGCGCGACGACUGCAACCGCCACGAUGCCCAUCUGCUCAGUAUCACGGACUCUCACGAGCAGGCCUUUGUGCACGGUCACAGCAAGGCCGUGCUCACCACUCCCUCGCUGUGGCUGGACGCCGACGCCCCCUUC